CUUGGCAUCAAGUCAGGCAUGUCGUAGCACGCGAUUGUAAAAUCAGGUGUACCCUAGGGUUCCCCUGAACGCUUCAUGGGGCAAUCUUGGCUGCUGCAUAAUAUGUAGCCAUUUGGCCUUCUGAAGUGUUUGGGGGAACUCCCGGGUUUCACUUGAUACGUACGUUCAUGCGCAAAUUUCAUCUUCGUGAGCGGAUCUCAGCGUCAAAAGAGUAAACUUCCCGAUUUGGCUGGUAAAUGCUUCGUGAAAUUGGUGAUAAAGAAUUUACUUUCUUUAAAACGCACAAUUUAAUGUAUCAAACAUGUCAUGAAAUAUUGGUUGAGAUGUUUUUUUAGGGCUUUAGCGACUUCUCUUUAGCCAUUCUGAUGCAGUUGCUGGGAAACAUAUGGAAACACGGCAGGUGAAGACAAUUCCUCCCCUUUCAGAAGCAUACCGUACAGCUCCCGGGCUCGUCCCCAUUGUAGUCCCUCUCUUUCUUAUACAGCAAUAAGAUUGUAUUCUUAGGUCGUA
Molecule: long non-coding RNA, 510 nt
Filed under: Olea europaea subsp. europaea
Lineage: Eukaryota; Viridiplantae; Streptophyta; Magnoliopsida; Lamiales; Oleaceae
Rfam family: mir-395 microRNA precursor family (bases 47-152)
Source: RNAcentral